This 412-nucleotide ribosomal RNA is filed under the name uncultured bacterium. RNAcentral's name for it is "bacterial SSU rRNA". It matches the Rfam family "Bacterial small subunit ribosomal RNA", at positions 32 to 424 of the family's 1533-position model. The record is from RNAcentral.
AAUCAACGCUGGCGGCGUGCCUCAGACAUGCAAGUCGAACGAGAAAGUUCCCUUCGGGGAAUGAGUAAAGUGGCGCACGGGUGAGUAACACGUAGGUAAUCUACCUUCGGGUGGGGAAUAACCCAGGGAAACUUGGGCUAACACCGCAUAAUGCAGCGGCACCACAUGGUGACAGUUGUUAAAGCGGGGGAUUUUAGGACCUCGCGCCUGAAGAGGAGCCUGCGGCGGAUUAGCNGUUGGUAAGGUAACGGCUUACCAAGGCGACGAUCCGUAGCCGGCCUGAGAGGGCGGUCGGCCACACUGACACUGACAUACGGGUCAGACUCCUACGGGAGGCAGCAGUCGGGAAUUUUGGGCAAUGGGCGAAAGCCUGGCCCAGCAACGCCGCGUGAAGGAUGAAAUCCCUCGGGAU